RNAcentral lists this ribosomal RNA (466 nucleotides) under uncultured bacterium. RNAcentral describes it as "bacterial SSU rRNA". It matches the Rfam family "Bacterial small subunit ribosomal RNA", at positions 40 to 526 of the family's 1533-position model. The record is from RNAcentral.
CGGCGCGCCUAACACAUGCAAGUCGAACGGGGUGCGGGGCUUCGGCCGCGCACCCAGUGGCGCACGGGUGAGUAACGCGUGGGCACCUGCCCUGGGCACCGGGACAACCGCGGGAAACUGCGGCUAAUACCGGAUGAUCCCCCGGAUCGAGAGUGAGGGGGGCAAAGCUCCGGCGGCCUGGGAUGGGCCCGCGUCCGAUUAGCUGGUUGGUGGGGUAACGGCCCACCAAGGCUGCGAUCGGUAGCUGGUCUGAGAGGAUGAUCAGCCACACUGGGACUGAGACACGGCCCAGACUCCUACGGGAGGCAGCAGUGGGGAAUCUUGGACAAUGGGGGCAACCCUGAUCCAGCGACGCCGCGUGGGUGAUGAAGGCCUUCGGGUUGUAAAGCCCUUUCACCGGGGACGAUGAUGACGGUACCCGGAGAAGAAGCACCGGCUAACUCCGUGCCAGCCGCCGCAGUAAUAC